GGAAGUUUGAAAAGAAGCAAGCCGUCCGCAUUCAUUCAAUCUCACCUCCGACCCACUCAAACUAACCCUAACCCUGCAUUCCAUUGUUUCCAUCAUGGGAAAUCUAAGUGACGCUCUCAAAUUAACAGGAACAUUGCGCAGAAGAUAUGUCCUGGGCAAUGGACUGAGAAAACGGGCAGAGAUUUAGAGGUAUUUGUGCAUGCUCUAUAUUACAGUUGAAAAGUGUAUAACAGCUUUCCAAUGCUGUUACUUGUGGUGAACACCUUUUUGCUUGAGUUGACGCGUGCCCGCAGGUGGAAUAAUGUCACAUGUCACACCGUCCAUAUUUUCUGUUGUUUUGAUUUAUUUACUCAUUCAUCAUUUUAUGUAAGACAAAGACACAAGACCACUUCACACGGUCAAAAAAACUGUUCGGCUUCCCAGGUGUGCGCACCUGUCCUAAUCAACCCACCCAUUAAAUAGACAGGCACAAUAGCACCAUCUGCUGGCACAAAAAAUACAUAACAAUAAACUGCAAAACCCCAAUCUGGCUCCUACAAAGUGUAUGUGACAAGAUGAUUAACGUUUGCUUUUGUUAAAUCAGGGCUUCCCCAGCCAGGACUUCGGCUCAGACUGUGGCAUAUUCAUGUUGAUGGUAGGUCAUAACGAGCUGUAAUGCACAAAUAUUGUAUCUAGAAUAACUUUCCAACAUGGACUUUUUUAAAGUUAUCUCACAUGUUGUCUCAUAAUCUUUUUUUUUUUAAGUCUGCCAUGUACAUCGUUAUGGAGUCACAGUUUGACCACUCAGUUGUAAGUACUUUUCAACACGCAGUGUCAUCCUCAAGGUUGUAUUUUGUAUUGUGCACUAAAAUGAAAUACAAACAACAAUUUCAGCAUGACAUGCCUGUUUUGCGGCGAUGGUGGUGCCUGUUGCUCCUGGAGAACAAUUCUUUGAACAGGUAGACAGUUUAAGUAAACUAGAUGCCCUAAUUAACUGGAAGACAAUCAAUAUAUUGUACUUAAAGAUAAAUUGUCAUUACAGUUGUGGGAAAAUCUUCGCCCACUGGACCAAAGAAUGUCAAGAGCUCAUUGCUGGAAAGCAUACUCCGGUCUUCAGUCUAAAGAGGAAGGCAGAGCAGCAGGACAUAGAGGUUAGAAAAUUGCCUUCUAAAAACAGUAUUAUCUCAGUGGGAGUCCUUCAAAAUGCACACAGUUGUAUGGAUCAACAUUGUCUCGAUGUAUUUGGUAAUUGAUGUUACUUUUCAAAUUGACUUGUCAAGGAAACCAUGACGCAGACGGCAUCGGAUGUC
Molecule: non-coding RNA, 1289 nt
Organism: Xyrichtys novacula (pearly razorfish)
Lineage: Eukaryota; Metazoa; Chordata; Actinopteri; Labriformes; Labridae
Source: the annotation of a GenBank genome assembly